UACGUAGGGGGCAAGCGUUGUCCGGAUUCAUUGGGCGUAAAGAGCGUGUAGGCGGUCAGGUAGGUCGGUUGUGAAAACUGGAGGCUCAACCUUCAGAGGUCGACCGAAACCAUCUGGCUAGAGUCCGGGAGAGGAGAGUGGAAUUCCUGGUGUAGCGGUGAAAUGCGCAGAUAUCAGGAAGAACACCCGUGGCGAAAGCGGCUCUCUGGAACGGUACUGACGCUGAGACGCGAAAGCGUGGGGAGCGAACAGG
This 253-nucleotide ribosomal RNA is filed under the name uncultured bacterium. Its description in RNAcentral is "partial 16S ribosomal RNA". It matches the Rfam family "Bacterial small subunit ribosomal RNA", at positions 524 to 776 of the family's 1533-position model. The record is from RNAcentral.